Marmota monax (woodchuck) is the source of this 521-nucleotide long non-coding RNA. RefSeq lists it as uncharacterized. The transcript is spliced from 3 exons. The record is from RefSeq and is a predicted model, not a curated record. Lineage: Eukaryota; Metazoa; Chordata; Mammalia; Rodentia; Sciuridae.
UCCGUGCUUGGUCUUCCCAUGGAUUUAUUUGCCUGCGCAUCUUUGCCAAACCAGUAGGGUAAAUCUGAAUGGAGCUGGAGACCAGGUUUCUCUGCCCACAAUCUCUCCAGAGAGCUAAAAGGUACAGAACUCCGAGAUAAUGAUCUGCUGAUUUAGCAAGGAGACCAUGAUGGGAACAAACCAGGAAUUGAAUGGGCAAGCUGAGGAUCCCCCUGGACAAGGCAUGAUAAAGUGAAAAAUGUGGAUCAUGGAAAAGACAUUUGGUGGAAUCUGAAUGAAUCAUCCUGCAAUAAAUGUAACACUUCUGGGUAAACUGUGCCUCUGACAUGCUGGGCUGUAGGCUAAUGUUGGGGAGACAUGUGUCCCUGUGUGACUAAGCCCUUUAUUUUAAUAUAUGUAGUCUCUUGCUGCAAAAUUGGAAAAGCUCAAGUCUGUUCUCCUGCUGCUGAUAAAAGGACAUUUGCCCAUGUCCCGUUUACCAAAAGGUGCCCAGCACCAGCAAAGCCAAGAUAAAUAAAACC